Molecule: unclassified non-coding RNA, 376 nt
Filed under: uncultured fungus
Lineage: Eukaryota; Fungi
Description: partial contains small subunit ribosomal RNA, internal transcribed spacer 1, and 5.8S ribosomal RNA
Rfam family: Eukaryotic small subunit ribosomal RNA (bases 1-73)
Source: RNAcentral
GCAAACUUGGUCAUUUAGAGGAAGUAAAAGUCGUAACAAGGUUUCCGUAGGUGAACCUGCGGAAGGAUCAUUAUCGAAUAAACUUGUGUGGGUUGUGCUGACCCUCUCGGGGGUAAGUGCACAUCUGCCAUUGUUUCAUUCAUCCCUUCCACCUGUGCACUUUCUGUAGACCCAUGCUGUCACCUUUCAGCUGCCCCACCGUGGCUUCUGGUGUGAGGACAUGCUCUUGCUGUCCUUGGACGGUGUGUGGUCUAUGUCUUUUAUCAACCCAUAGUAUGUCAUUGAAUGUUUGUUGGGUUCUCUACACAGACCCAUAAAAAUCCAUACAACUUUCAACAACGGAUCUCUUGGCUCUCGCAUCGAUGAAGAACGCAGC